UACGAAGGGUGCAAGCGUUACUCGGAAUUACUGGGCGUAAAGCGUGCGUAGGUGGUUCGUUAAGUCUGAUGUGAAAGCCCUGGGCUCAACCUGGGAAUGGCAUUGGAAACUGGCGACCUAGAGUGCGGUAGAGGGUAGUGGAAUUCCCGGUGUAGCAGUGAAAUGCGUAGAGAUCGGGAGGAACAUCUGUGGCGAAGGCGACUGCCUGGACCAGCACUGACACUGAGGCACGAAAGCUGGGGGAGCAAACAGG
RNAcentral lists this ribosomal RNA (253 nucleotides) under uncultured bacterium. RNAcentral describes it as "partial 16S ribosomal RNA". It matches the Rfam family "Bacterial small subunit ribosomal RNA", at positions 524 to 776 of the family's 1533-position model. The record is from RNAcentral.